AGUGUUAAGACUUUUACGUACUUUUGUUUUGUUUGCUUUAGUCUUAACAGAAAAGGAAGCUGGUCUCCUUGCGGAAAAACAAACAUUUAAGGCAGGUAACCACUGACUCUUCUCCGUGACUCACUCAGUACACGGAAUCAGUUACCAAGGACUGUCCAUUUACCUCUACUCCUUGUGCAAAGAUAGUCAUUGUUUUACUUCUCUGCACCUUGGCCAGUGGUCAGAAUAACCUUUACCAGAGCUUUCCCCCCCUCAAAAGUCAGAGUUCAUUCAACCCAUUAUCCCAGGGCAUAAGGUUGUUAAGCUGGGGAAAAAAAUUUCAGACCAAAGUAGUCUGAGCCCAGUUUUUGUUAAAAAUAAAGGACCAAAGAAGCACAUUUGUGAUUACCAAUGGAUGUUUUUGUAGCACUGGAGUCUCUCACUGGAAUCACUGCAUCAGUGGUAACAGCCACUAGACUGACCUCCCGAGGAGCCGUCCUUUGCACAAUAGAGAUCUUCUACAAACAUCAGAGGAGAGCGAAGAGGAGCUGUAUUCCUCCUGCCGCCAGCUUCGGAGGCGGCAAGAAGAACUGAACAACCAGCUCUUUCUGUACGACACCCACCAGAACCUGCGCAGCGCCACCCGUGAUGCCAUGGUCAGAGAAUUCAACGUCAACGAGAACCAGCUGCAGCUGUACCAGGAGAAGUGCAACCGCAGGUGGGUCACAGCCUGCAGCCACUGUGAGGUCAGGCCUGGGCCAGGGCGGAGGGCAAGGCUCCCCCUUCAGAAAGCCUGAGCCCUGACCCCUCUUCUCUUGGCUCCAUCAAUUACUUAUACUAAGAGCUCAAGCAUCUGCACCUUCCCUGAGCUGAACUGUCCUCCUGAGCACGCCCAGGAAAGAGUGAAAAUAAGCAAUGACCAUUACUGUU
Molecule: long non-coding RNA, 909 nt
Filed under: Bos indicus x Bos taurus (hybrid cattle)
Lineage: Eukaryota; Metazoa; Chordata; Mammalia; Artiodactyla; Bovidae
Description: lncRNA (ENSBIXG00000010641.1)
Source: RNAcentral